UAAAAAUCUGCAUUACAGCCCAGAACAUGGCUUGUCUUUCACAUCACUGUCACCACUGUUGAAACGCACCACCCACCACCUCACUGUGUUCACAUCCACUGUUUGUUCUUCAUGAACACUGAGCAAACUUUGAUGAAUGUCAAUGGGUACAAUAUUUUCUGCAUGGAGGAAUUCAGUUACUCACCUUUGCUUUAUAAGCACUUCCAUGUCAGACACCAUUCUGUCAGCCUGCUCCUCUGCUGCCAUCUGUGACACGGCAACAACAUGUAACAGAAUACUGGCAGGAAGGUUCCACCUCUACUGCCGUACCACCACCAUCUGCCUCUGGCAUCAUGGGCCAAUGUAAUAUAAAUAGGAGGCAUUACUUUUGUAGCAGACUUCACAAAUGAUUGCAUUUCAGUGCUUGAAAAUGCUGGACAGAAACAAACCUGAAGCCUAGCUCUGAACUAUAGAGAGAAAUUCUGACCAUUUCAAGACUAUCUUUUCUCUGAAUUUAUGUCACUGUUCUGGGUCAAGCAAUAUACUCCUGGAAAACAGGAUCCUUGCUCGGAAAGAGAAGUCAGGAUAUAAAAAAGCUCAAUAUUCCCAAAAUGACUUUCACCUAUCCAGCUGCUCUUUGGCCGUCCUGGAAGAAACUCUGGAAGCAACCAGUAUUGCUUCUUGUUCUCCUGACGUCAACCAGGGAAGAAUUAGGGAAGAUAUGGACAUCAUGAACUAGUUGCUAAACCAUCCAUAAAUGACUGAAGCAAAUACUGGCAAUGAUUUGCAGCUCCUGGAACAACUGAAUAACAUUGUUGAUAAAUUAUGGAACCUGACAAGAAAACAGAGGGAAAGAGUCCCCACAGAUGUUUAAGUGAGAGCUCCCGGACUGCCUGCAGACUGCCUGCGAACACUCUGCCCAGUGCUUUGACAGCUGUGCUCUCUCUGAAAGAUCCCAGGUGCAAUCUGCAUUCUGGCCACGCAAAGCUUGCAGGCAUAUUGGCUGCAUAUGCUGAAUAUGUGUUCAGAGAGUACUCAGAAGUUGAUGUUUGCUGUGAGGACAUCUUCCUUAAGAAAAUAAUGAGUUACAACUUGCGAAAAUCAAAACAAGAGAAAAGGAACCAUGUUUCCAGUUUGAGCAUUUCAGUUCGUGUUUCUGUGUCCUGCUGAUAACUCUCUGCUUCUUUCCCAUGCUACCGAGUGACCACAUCUUCAGGGUCACGUGUAGAUGGUUUUGCAGGAGGAUUUGUACUGGCUAAAGAAUUUAGCCUAAAGCUAAAUUCUACUAAUGCUGUCCAAGAAACAGUACAUUCAUAUGAAUAGCAUUUGUGAUAGUGAAUACUCAGCAGUGGAUCUGUUACCAUUUAAUAGGGAUUGUAUCUUGUUUUAGAGAAAAAUAUUUGGAGUCUUACUGAAAAAAUUCUUGUUUCUGUUACAUAAUCAUCCUAAAACUCAGUUCUUAAAGGAUGUUUGUUGUUUUUCCUUUGCAAAGAUCAAGUCAAUAAUUUUUAACUCCUUCAGGUGAGCUCUUGCUUGAUUUGCGAUGUAUGUGUCACAUUUCAGUAAUGUCAACCUGAACUUUUCACUCAAAUUAGGAUAGUAUAAUAUAUUUUUAUUAUUAUGUGCCUUAUUUUUCUUGCAACGAAGCACAUUUGACACUGAGCAUAACAACAUGAAAGAAACUGGUAUUAAAUUACAAAAAAAUAAAAUAUAGUAAGACAAGUUCA
This 1706-nucleotide long non-coding RNA is filed under the name Numida meleagris (helmeted guineafowl). RNAcentral describes it as "lncRNA (ENSNMEG00000004034.1)". The record is from RNAcentral. Lineage: Eukaryota; Metazoa; Chordata; Aves; Galliformes; Numididae.